Molecule: ribosomal RNA, 468 nt
Filed under: uncultured bacterium
Lineage: Bacteria
Description: partial 16S ribosomal RNA
Rfam family: Bacterial small subunit ribosomal RNA
Source: RNAcentral
GACGAACGCUGGCGGCGUGCUUAACACAUGCAAGUCGAACGGAAAGGCCCUGCUUUUGUGGGGUGCUCGAGUGGCGAACGGGUGAGUAACACGUGAGUAACCUGCCCUUGACUUUGGGAUAACUUCAGGAAACUGGGGCUAAUACCGGAUAGGAGCUCCUGCUGCAUGGUGGGGGUUGGAAAGUUUCGGCGGUUGGGGAUGGACUCGCGGCUUAUCAGCUUGUUGGUGGGGUAGUGGCUUACCAAGGCUUUGACGGGUAGCCGGCCUGUGAGGGUGACCGGCCACAUUGGGACUGAGAUACGGCCCAGACUCCUACGGGAGGCAGCAGUGGGGAAUAUUGCACAAUGGGCGGAAGCCUGAUGCAGCAGCGCCGCGUGCGGGAUGACGGCCUUCGGGUUGUAAACCGCUUUCGCCUGUGACGAAGCGUGAGUGACGGUAAUGGGUAAAGAAGCACCGGCUAACUACGUG